GGGCGUUUAGCUCAGAGGCAGAGCAUUUACUUGACGUGUAAAGGGUCGGGGGUUCGAUUCCCUCAACGCCCA
This 72-nucleotide transfer RNA is filed under the name Patescibacteria group bacterium. Its description in RNAcentral is "tRNA-Val". It matches the Rfam family "tRNA". From Rfam's summary of the family: Transfer RNA (tRNA) molecules are approximately 80 nucleotides in length. Their secondary structure includes four short double-helical elements and three loops (D, anti-codon, and T loops). The record is from RNAcentral. RNAcentral also lists the same sequence under 2 other names.